This 392-nucleotide ribosomal RNA is filed under the name uncultured bacterium. Its description in RNAcentral is "partial 16S ribosomal RNA". It matches the Rfam family "Bacterial small subunit ribosomal RNA", at positions 523 to 918 of the family's 1533-position model. The record is from RNAcentral.
AUACGGAGGAUCCGAGCGUUAUCCGGACUUAUUGGGUUUAAAGGGUGCGCAGGCGGCCAUUUAAGUCAGCGGUUAAAUCGUGGGGCUCAACCCCAUUCUGCCGUUGAUACUGGGUGGCUUGAUUGCGGUCGAGGUUGGCGGAAUUCGUUGUGUAGCGGUGAAAUGCAUAGAUAUGACGAAGAACACCGAUUGCGUAGGCAGCUGACCAGACCGCAAAUGACGCUCAUGCACGAAAGUGCGGGGAUCGAACAGGAUUAGAUACCCUGGUAGUCCGCACAGUAAACGAUGAAUACUUGUUUUCGGCGAUAUAAUGUCGGAGGCAAAGCGAAAGCGAUAAGUAUUCCACCUGGGGAGUACGCCGGCAACGGUGAAACUCAAAUGAAUUGACGGGG